This 253-nucleotide ribosomal RNA is filed under the name uncultured bacterium. Its description in RNAcentral is "partial 16S ribosomal RNA". It matches the Rfam family "Bacterial small subunit ribosomal RNA", at positions 524 to 776 of the family's 1533-position model. The record is from RNAcentral.
UACGUAGGGAGCAAGCGUUGUUCGGAAUCAUUGGGCGUAAAGCGCGCGUAGGCGGCCUCAUAAGUCCGUUGUGAAAGUCCAAGGCUCAACCUUUGAAAGCCGAUGGAUACUGUGAGGCUAGAGUCCGGAAGAGGCGAGUGGAAUUCCUGGUGUAGCGGUGGAAUGCGCAGAUAUCAGGAGGAACACCAAUAGCGAAGGCAGCACGCUGGGACGGUACUGACGCUGAGAAGCGAAAGCAUGGGGAGCGAACAGG